This is a long non-coding RNA of Rhinichthys klamathensis goyatoka, 721 nucleotides long. RefSeq lists it as uncharacterized. The record is from RefSeq and is a predicted model, not a curated record. NCBI's taxonomy places the organism in Eukaryota, Metazoa, Chordata, Actinopteri, Cypriniformes, Leuciscidae. The transcript is spliced from 3 exons.
UUGAGACGAUGCUGAAAGAAUUCAACAAAUGCCUUCUCACCUAUUUCCUUUGCAUUCAGCAGAUCUGCAGAGAUGGCUUCUGAUGCUACCUGACCUGAUGUAACAUGGUAAAGAUGGUCUUUUUCCAGUGUUUGAUCAAAUGGGUUCAUCAUGUGAUGUAUGGUUGACAGAAUGCUCUGAACAUCUUUUUCAUCCUGUUCCUUUCUUUUCUCAUCCAAUUCUGUUCUCUGUCUCGUUGACGUGUUCUGCCCAGCCAUGUCCUUGACCUCCAUUGUGAUGGCUGCUCUCUCGUGCUGUGUCAGUGUCCACCUGUGGACUGCACCUUUGUUCAACGAAAAACCUGAAAAGAACCACGGCAGCAUGAACCGGAUGCUGGAAAGAUGCAGACCCCAGUUUGCCUCUCGUGUGGCCCUGAUGAAUGAUAGCAGAUCCUCUACCAUUUCAAUGUAGGAACUCCAAAACUGGAAAGGCACUUUGGAGGUCAGCAGCAACUUUUAAAGCAGCUUCACGACAGUCUUGAGAAAAGGUUUCAAGGUAGGCUUGCCAGCGUAACCUGUGUAGUGCCUCACACAUCAACUUGUGGCUUCGGAUGCUUCUGUUAUAUUGGUGACCUGUUAUAACUCCCCCAACAGACCCAGCAGCAAUAACAUCUGCCUCAAUCAGAAUGUCUUGUAAGCCAGCAUCUCCAAAUCGCUUGCCAAUACAGGACAGGAAAGCCAUA